CAGAAACCGCGAGCCGUUUCCUUUCUCUUCGGAAAUGGCAGUUUUGUUGUCCUGGAUGAAGGCGAGCGCCGCUGCCUCCCUGAAUGCUGAGCACGCUGGCUUCGCGGUGCCCGGAAGGAAGCCUUUGAAGACCCUGACUCCAGUGUCUCCAGCUGAGAGGCUGAGCUUGCCAGCUCCAUUUCUGACUGCUCAUGGAGCAGAAUCAGUGACCAAGGAGAAAAGGGCUGAGUGAAGAAACAAGUGUGAGUGCCAAGAUGAUGCCAAGGGCUGUGAUUUCCUGGUGGGAAGAAAGAAGGAAUAGAAGCCAAAGGAAGGGGGAUGAAAAGCAAAACCAAGAAUCACAAGGAAUCAAGUUCGGAGAGAAUUUUGGCAGAGAUUUUGAGAGGGGGGCUUUAAGUCAGCCAUGGACAUACUGAAGCAAGAGGAAUGAAGGGAAAAAAGAAAAGGGGGGAAAAAAAGAAGAAGAAUGGGGCCAAGGAGGAUUUAAGACUACCAUUAUAGGUUACAAGUUGAAUUCUUUUUAAUAUUCUUCAAGCAAUGACAGUAAAGAUUCAAAUAACUUUUAAAUUACCUUUGAUUUCUAAACCAAGUUUCUUGGAAUGUGAAAGUCGCCAAGACUGGGCCCUGCAGGGCCUGGGUUGGGCUACUACUGCCUAUGGAGAUUCUGAGGGUAUUAACCUUAAUAAUGGCAUGAAAUCAAUAAAAAUCAUCCAAAAGCUUUU
Molecule: long non-coding RNA, 722 nt
Filed under: Homo sapiens (human)
Lineage: Eukaryota; Metazoa; Chordata; Mammalia; Primates; Hominidae
Description: non-protein coding lnc-BIRC2-9:5
Source: RNAcentral